RNAcentral lists this transfer RNA (58 nucleotides) under Heterobothrium okamotoi. RNAcentral's name for it is "tRNA-Ser". Lineage: Eukaryota; Metazoa; Platyhelminthes; Monogenea; Mazocraeidea; Diclidophoridae. The record is from RNAcentral.
GGGGGUAAUUGUCUGUUACUGCUAAUAAUGGUUUGGGGUUUGAAUACCCCUACCCCCU